RNAcentral lists this ribosomal RNA (257 nucleotides) under uncultured bacterium. RNAcentral describes it as "partial 16S ribosomal RNA". It matches the Rfam family "Bacterial small subunit ribosomal RNA", at positions 524 to 777 of the family's 1533-position model. The record is from RNAcentral.
UACGUAGGGGGGCAAGCGUUUGUCCGGAAUCAUUGGGCGUAAAGAGCGUGUAGGCGGCCCGGUAAGUCCGCUGUGAAAGUCCAGGGCUCAACCCUGGAAUGCCGGUGGAAACUGUCGGGCUAGAGUCCGGAAGAGGAGAGUGGAAUUCCUGGUGUAGCGGUGAAAUGCGCAGAUAUCAGGAGGAACACCGAUGGCGAAGGCAGGUCUCUGGGCAUUAACUGACGUGAGGAGCGAAAAGCAUGGGGGAGCGAACAGGA